This 254-nucleotide ribosomal RNA is filed under the name uncultured bacterium. RNAcentral's name for it is "partial 16S ribosomal RNA". It matches the Rfam family "Bacterial small subunit ribosomal RNA", at positions 524 to 776 of the family's 1533-position model. The record is from RNAcentral.
GACGAACCGUGCUAACGUUAUUCGGAAUCACUGGGCUUAAAGCGCGUGUAGGCGGGACGGCACGUCGGUCGUUGAAAGCCCCCGGCUCAACCGGGGAACGGGCGCCGAUACGACCGUCCUGGAGGGACGUAGGGGGACCUGGAACUUCCGGUGGAGCGGUGAAAUGCGUUGAGAUCGGAAGGAACGCCCGUGGCGAAAGCGAGGUCCUGGACGUUUUCUGACGCUGAGACGCGAAAGCCAGGGGAGCGAACGGG